This 440-nucleotide ribosomal RNA is filed under the name uncultured bacterium. RNAcentral's name for it is "partial 16S ribosomal RNA". It matches the Rfam family "Bacterial small subunit ribosomal RNA", at positions 338 to 795 of the family's 1533-position model. The record is from RNAcentral.
CCUACGGGUGGCAGCAGUGGGGGAUAUUGCACAAUGGGGGAAACCCUGAUGCAGCGACGCCGCGUGAGUGAAGAAGUAUUUCGGUAUGUAAAGCUCUAUCAGCAGGGAAGAAAAUGACAUUACCUGACCAACAAGCCCCGUCUAACAACUUGCCAGCAGCCGCGGUAAUACGUAGGGGGCAAGCGUUAUCCGGAUUUACUGGGUGUAAAGGGAGCGUAGAGGGUUAUUGAAGUCUGUAGUGAAAGGCCGGGGCCCAACCCCGGGACUGCUUUGGAAACUGUAUAACUGGAGUGCAGGAGGGGCAGGCGGAAUUCCUGGUGUAGCGGUGAAAUGCGUAGAUAUCAGGAGGAACACCGGUGGCGAAGGCGGCCUGCUGGACUGAAACUGACGUUGAGGCUCGAAAGCGUGGGGAGCAAACAGGAUUAGAUACCCGAGUAGUC